GGGGAUAGGGAUAGGGAUAGGGAUAGGGAUAGGGAUAGAGAUAGGGAUAGGGAUAGGGAUAGGGAUAGGGAUAGGGAUAGGGAUAGGGAUAGGGAUAGGGAUAGGGAUAGGGAUAGGGAUAGGGAUAGGGACAUGGACAUGACUAGGAUGUGGUGCUUUGGGACAUCCCACUUCUGAUCUCCUCUGGAUGUGGCUCUACUCUUCCCAGGGAAAGGUGAGCUUGGUUUUAGGGUGCUUACUGAGCACGGUGAUGUUGGAAAUCCUCUUUUCUUGCAUUCAUGCAUGGCCAGGUCCAAUGUCCUGCUGAAAGGGCUUUGUGCUCACUUGUUUACCUUGGACAAGGCCAAUAAACCCACAGUUAGCUUGGCAAUGAUUGAAUGGUGUUCGAUAUUGACUCAGAUUUUCCUGGUGAAGAUUAAAUGGAGGUGGGCGAUGGGAACACAGCCUUCAUGGUGGGGAAGGAAGCACAUGUUUUCCUGUUUAAUGCUUCCAUCUAUAGCCAUGAGCAAAUAAAAAUUUUGUAUCUUACAUGAAAAUUACCUCCUGCUCAACAAACAGAUCAAGGCACAAAUUUGCCUCAUUUAUAUUCACAUUCCAAAAAAAUGAUAGUUUUAUACUUCAAAACAGCUUUCUUUCCCUCUCUCCUUCUCUCCCCACAUGCACACACUUGGGACAAGAUCAAACAGCUCUUUAUUUUUCUCUAACAAUAAUGUAAUUAUUAUACAGUGUUAAUUGUAGAGAAAACUGAGGACAACUCAGCAUGUAAAAAUUCUAAUUAAUAUUUUUAUAAUACUAAUUAUUUUAUAAUUAUAAUUACGUAUAAUUAUCAUCCUUAUUUUAAUAAUUCCAUGCUCUCAUGCUACAAGUAUUACACUUAACCUUUUCAAUACUGGUCCUAGCUGUUGCUUUUUCUCAGGGUAAUCUCCUAUUCCAUGGGUUGUGCCACUGUGGCACAUCCUUGUUGCUGGUUUGUACUAUUGCUGCUGAACUCACUUGAAUUCUUGAGUUCGGGUUCAUUUCCAUUUUUGUUGGCCCAGCAGGGUGCUGCCUGCCCUGCCUCACCCACAAGGGGACAGCUGACACCUGCAGGCAGGUUAUCUUGAUGGGAACUAAGGCCAAAAGUGCACAGCAAACCACAGCAAGGAAUUUGUAUGGGUAGCCCCAUGUAUUUUCUGUACUUGUCUAUGCAGUGGUACUUGUUCAUUUAAGGUCAUCUACAUUCAGCAGGAUGCUGGACAAGAAGUGCUGACAUCCUCUGCCACCCCUUAGUGUUCUUACAGUAUGGUGCAUGGUGAGCAAGACUCAUUCAUCACCCUUCUUUGCCUUGAAUUCUUUCCAAUUCUGUCUUUCCUUCCCUGUUCAUUUUUCUAUCUAUCUGAUCUAUCAAGUAACAAAAUCCCACCCCCAUUUACACGGAGCCUGGCAGUUCCUCUACUCAGAACCUUAUGAACCCACUGCUCUGUUUCUGCUCCUGCCCAGCCCUCCUGGUGCCUGCAUCAUUGCUUGGAAUUAACAGGCAACAUUCUUCUGACAGUUGAACACAGAAAAAAUUGUUUUCAAUUAUGAAUGCUCAGAAUUCUACAAAAAAAGAGAAAGAGAUCAAACGUUUUCUUAACUCCUUGACGUCUUUGAAUACGUGUUAGACAAGGGAAAAGAUCGGUGCUCCUGGUAACUCAUAAAAACCUUUCCUUUCUGGUGGCAGAAUUUGUAAAAUUUGAGUAUCUCCUCUAACCUUAACCUUAGGUCAUCCACUAAACUCAGAGGAGUCUUUGUUGGAACAAUAGAAGGCAUUGGGUGUUUCAGGUGCUGUCUUCUGUGUACCACUACAUUAUUUGCUUGCAUAAAGGCACUCCUCUCCAAAGUGAGAUAAAUUGUUUUGUUGCUUCCAUGUGAAGCACGUGAACUGGUCUCGCACCUUCUGACUGACAUUGGAAAGGCAAUGAUCUCCUCUGAACAGCACUAUCUUGCCUGCUGGAUCCUUCUGCCCCCGUGCAGAGCUGGGCUGGAGCAGACACUGGGGCCAACUGCAGUCCACUGAAUGCAACUGAGAUGGAUCCACCAAAGGAAGAGUUCCUGCAGCACUGAUGGACACCCACCUUGCCCACCACCACAAAAAGCCAUGAGGCAGAGUCUUGAGCCUCAUUCUAAUAUCAUGCAUGCUGCAGUCAACGAACAAAAAGGCAAACAAAGACUGAAUUUACGCCAGCAAGUCACAAUAAGCCGUGCACUGGCAAAAUAUUUAAUCGUGCUGAAGUUGGAGGCCGGAUCCUCCCACGUGGCUUUAUUUUGGCAUUGCAAACUGCACAUCUUCUAAAGAUUAAUAUUAUUAUAUAUGAUGCUGUAGCAAUAUAUAUGAUUGCUUGCAGCAACACAUUAUGGAGCAUUAAAGCAGAAGAAGAUUUAAGCAGACAUUUAAAUGGAGGUGACUCUAACUGCUCGGCUUCUCCAGGAGCACUGGCAAAACCUCACACUGAGGACUAGUUCUAAUUUGUGGAGGAUGUGGAAGAGAAGUGGGAAGAAAGAAAGCUGUUGCUGCUGUUUGGCAGCUUGAUGUUUUGGGUUUUUUUUCGUGAUGUUUUCUUCUUUGCUUUAGGCAAAUGAAAGGAAUAAGUUCACUUAUAAUUGCUUUCAUGUAAAGAAAAGUUAAUAGAAAUUUUAAUAACGGUAGCAGCUUAAAAGAGUUUGAGGCCAUGGCACAUGCAAUGCAAUGGAGGCAGCUCUUGCAACAGGCUGCAGCUGCCCAUUGCUAUGGCUCUGCUUGUGGCACGGGGUGGGGGGAGCUUUGGGAGAAUUCAGAAGGGUUCAU
Long non-coding RNA from Tympanuchus pallidicinctus (lesser prairie-chicken), 2806 nucleotides. RefSeq lists it as uncharacterized. Lineage: Eukaryota; Metazoa; Chordata; Aves; Galliformes; Phasianidae. The record is from RefSeq and is a predicted model, not a curated record. The transcript is spliced from 5 exons.